GCUGUAAAUUGUAAUGGCCAAA
Molecule: microRNA, 22 nt
Filed under: Drosophila pseudoobscura pseudoobscura
Lineage: Eukaryota; Metazoa; Arthropoda; Insecta; Diptera; Drosophilidae
Description: mir-971-RA
Source: RNAcentral